Molecule: ribosomal RNA, 1338 nt
Filed under: uncultured bacterium
Lineage: Bacteria
Description: 16S ribosomal RNA
Rfam family: Bacterial small subunit ribosomal RNA
Source: RNAcentral
ACGCUGGCGGCGUGCUUAACACAUGCAAGUCGAACGGAAAGGCCCUGCUUUUGUGGGGUGCUCGAGUGGCGAACGGGUGAGUAACACGUGAGUAACCUGCCCUUGACUUUGGGAUAACUUCAGGAAACUGGGGCUAAUACCGGAUAGGAGCUCCUGCUGCAUGGUGGGGGUUGGAAAGUUUCGGCGGUUGGGGAUGGACUCGCGGCUUAUCAGCUUGUUGGUGGGGUAGUGGCUUACCAAGGCUUUGACGGGUAGCCGGCCUGAGAGGGUGACCGGCCACAUUGGGACUGAGAUACGGCCCAGACUCCUACGGGAGGCAGCAGUGGGGAAUAUUGCACAAUGGGCGGAAGCCUGAUGCAGCAACGCCGCGUGCGGGAUGACGGCCUUCGGGUUGUAAACCGCUUUCGCCUGUGACGAAGCGUGAGUGACGGUAAUGGGUAAAGAAGCACCGGCUAACUACGUGCCAGCAGCCGCGGUGAUACGUAGGGUGCGAGCGUUGUCCGGAUUUAUUGGGCGUAAAGGGCUCGUAGGUGGUUGAUCGCGUCGGAGGUGUAAUCUUGGGGCUUAACCCUGAGCGUGCUUUCGAUACGGGUUGACUUGAGGAAGGUAGGGGAGAAUGGAAUUCCUGGUGGAGCGGUGGAAUGCGCAGAUAUCAGGAGGAACACCAGUGGCGAAGGCGGUUCUCUGGGCCUUUCCUGACGCUGAGGAGCGAAAGCGUGGGGAGCGAACAGGCUUAGAUACCCUGGUAGUCCACGCUGUAAACGGUGGGUACUAGGUGUGGGGUCCAUUCCACGGGUUCCGUGCCGUAGCUAACGCUUUAAGUACCCCGCCUGGGGAGUACGGCCGCAAGGCUAAAACUCAAAGGAAUUGACGGGGCCCCGCACAAGCGGCGGAGCAUGCGGAUUAAUUCGAUGCAACGCGUAGAACCUUACCUGGGUUUGACAUGGAUCGGGAGUGCUCAGAGAUGGGUGUGCCUCUUUUGGGGUCGGUUCACAGGUGGUGCAUGCCUGUCGUCAGCUCGUGUCGUGAGAUGUUGGGUUAAGUCCCGCAACGAGCGCAACCCUUGUUCACUGUUGCCAGCACGUUAUGGUGGGGACUCAGUGGAGACCGCCGGGGUCAACUCGGAGGAAGGUGGGGAUGACGUCAAGUCCUCAUGCCCCUUAUGUCCAGGGCUUCACGCAUGCUACAAUGGCUGGUACAGAGAGUGGCGAGCCUGUGAGGGUGAGCGAAUCUCGGAAAGCCGGUCUCAGUUCGGAUUGGGGUCUGCAACUCGACCUCAUGAAGUCGGAGUCGCUAGUAAUCGCAGAUCAGCAACGCUGCGGUGAAUACGUUCCCGGG